RNAcentral lists this ribosomal RNA (272 nucleotides) under uncultured bacterium. RNAcentral describes it as "partial 16S ribosomal RNA". It matches the Rfam family "Bacterial small subunit ribosomal RNA", at positions 84 to 354 of the family's 1533-position model. The record is from RNAcentral.
UCUGAUGGCGACCGGCGUACGGGUGAGUAACGCGUAUCCAACCUGCCCUUUACUAUGGGACAGCCCGUCGAAAGGCGGAUUAAUACCGUAUGUUGUCAUGUUGAUGCAUAUUUUCAUGACCAAAGGCUUCGGCCGGUAAAGGAUGGGGAUGCGUCUGAUUAGCUUGCCGGCGGGGUAACGGCCCACCGGGGCGACGAUCAGUAGGGGUUCUGGGAGGAAGGUCCCCCACAUUGGAACUGAGACACGGUCCAAACUCCUACGGAAGGCAGCAG